AUGAGCAUCAAAUGUUCUAUUGCAUUCGAGUAUUGUAUAUGUGUGUACUAUUCCUUUGUCACUUUGUAAUCAGUGUGUUGUUCGAUGUGUCGUGUCGUUAUAAUUGAAGAUGAGUUGGCUAACAGUGCUAUGGGCAUCGGCCAUGUAUGAAUGGAUGUUCUCUCUUCCUAGUCCGACAGAGCACGAGUAAGAGUGUGGUAAUAACAUCAAUGUGCUUCUAAAAUUCUCUCUUCUCCUAUAUGCCAUCUUGAGUGAGGGAAGCAAUGGUAGCACAGAAAAGUCUCUGACGCCGGUGAUGGGCUUGCAGCAGAAGCGAAAGCUUAGUGGACCCUGAAGCUUCAAACCAAGUAAUGAUCGACACGUUGGUUUAUGUGAGAUAGGUCUAAGUCUCAUCAUAAGGUAAUCUUAAUUCUGCAUUUUCAUUUUCGUAUUAGAGCCCAGGAGAGAGUUCUUUCUUUGUCAAGGGUGUGAUUGAGAAAGUGAAAAGUUUGGAGACUAUUUUGAAAAUUAAAAUAGCAUUUAGAUUCUCGUGGAAAUCUCCGUGACUGGAUGUAAGAACUGCCGUUCUUCACAAAUCUUCCCAAGCAAACUCUCCUGAAUUUUUUUUUCUUGGGUUGACCCUCAAGCAUUUAUUUAAUUUUCUUGGGCCAGCAUAUCAUACCCAACCUAUCAGAUCAACUAUAUAUGAUAAUCUUCAGCAUAAUUUCAACUAUAUAUCAAAAUCUUUUUAAUUAGAUAUAUUAAGAUUUUAAAUUUUCAAUAUAUUAGAAUAUUAAGAACAUCUUAAAGCAAUAACUUUUUUUAUGUACUCUGAUAUCUGGAAGCUCAAUAAGUCCCAACUAAAUCACUUCGAACCGAGUCGACCUAGUAAAAGAUAAAAUUCUCCAAAUAUUAAUUUUCUUCAUUUACGAACUUGAAAAACAAUGAAUUUUAUUUCUCAAGUCUCUUUUUUUUCCUUGUUUUUUCAAUUUUGUCCUAAUUUUUUUAAUUAAAUCUUUUCCUCAAUAUUGCACUGCUUUUUCAUUAAGUCAUGUCGAAUCUUCAUCAACAAAGCUAACGUGCCAUUUUCUUUAAAAUAAAAUGAUUGAAAAAAGCUGAAAAAAACCCUUAUCUCAAUUUCGAAAGGGGUGGGGGCCACACCUAACCCACCAGGACCACCACUCCUUCCCUUCUCCCUCUUCCAUUCUCUCUCUCUUUUGUGCAGUAUGCCGUUCCAUUCUCUAAUUUCCCUUUUUCUUAAAUUUUGUUCUUUGUGAUUUUCUGAAAAUUAACUCCUUUUAAGGAAAAUGCGAUGUCAGCCUUUUUGAUGGAAAAAUGGAUCCUAGACUAUAUUAUGAGCAAACAAUGUAAUGUUGAGGAUAAAAAUGUAAAUUGAACUUGAAGAACUAAAAGUGAUUUUUCUUUUA
Punica granatum (pomegranate) is the source of this 1406-nucleotide non-coding RNA. NCBI's taxonomy places the organism in Eukaryota, Viridiplantae, Streptophyta, Magnoliopsida, Myrtales, Lythraceae. The record is from RefSeq and is a predicted model, not a curated record.